UAGGAUAAAGAUGGGCAUGCGGAACAUUAGCUAGUUGGCGGGGUAACGGCCCACCAAGGCUACGAUGUUUAGGGGAUCUGAGAGGAUGGCCCCCCACACUGGUACUGAAACACGGACCAGACUCCUACGGGAGGCAGCAGUAAGGAAUAUUGGUCAAUGGGCGCAAGCCUGAACCAGCCAUGCCGCGUGCAGGAAGACAGCCCUACUGGUCGUAAACUGCUUUUAUACCGGAAUAAACCCUUUCACGUGUGAGAGGUUGAAUGUACGGUAGGAAUAAGGAUCGGCUAACUCCGUGCCAGCAGCCGCGGUAAU
RNAcentral lists this ribosomal RNA (312 nucleotides) under Sphingobacteriaceae bacterium 30-D57. RNAcentral's name for it is "bacterial SSU rRNA". It matches the Rfam family "Bacterial small subunit ribosomal RNA", at positions 215 to 524 of the family's 1533-position model. Lineage: Bacteria; Pseudomonadati; Bacteroidota; Sphingobacteriia; Sphingobacteriales; Sphingobacteriaceae. The record is from RNAcentral.